AAUGUCCUGUCAGCAUGUAUAAUGACCAUAAGUAAAGUCAUCAGUUCAUUUGGUCAUUGUCUACUAUUAACAUAACACCUGCAAUGAUUUAUGGGUAAUAUGUGAUAUUUUGACACUCGUCAUUAUCGUCUGCUUGCUCUUUCUCUGGCGUUUGUAUAACAGAAAUAAACAUUAAUUACAUCCGCCAUAUAUUACAAGUUUUAAUUACAGACAUGUAUAUUGUCAAAUGUAAACAUAUGGACAUGCGUAAUGGUUGUUAAUUGAAAGCGUAUUCUUAUAAGGCCCAAUGACAGGCCUAAUGAAAACUUGUAAUGAGUUUCGCCCACUGAUCAUUCGUAACAAAAUGUCAUAAAUGAAAGGUUUAUUUCAGUUUUAUGACCAUGGUCAUAGUAAGUAAUACAUAAGUUAUUGUCCUUGCAGAAUAACUAGAACUUAGUCGGCGGUUUACAACGGAGGUUAUAACACUUUAUACAGAAUGAAGUUCCCAAUAACAAUAUGUUGCUGUUUGCUGACAGUGUGUAUCACCGUGACAAAAGCACAAUAUCCAUUUCAAACCAUUUACCCGGGAGGAUUCCAGUACCCGAUGCAAUUCCAAAGAGGAUUUUCUGGCAGCGGUUUUGGCAGAAGCCGCGGAGGGAGCAUAGGUAGUCAAGAUUUCUUUGGCGGCACAGGUGGAAGAAAUGGGCUGCCAGUAUGGGGAGGGGCUGGAAUUGGAGAAAGGCAUGCUGACGGCAUAGAUAGAAACGGAAGAGGAUGGUACCCAUUCCCAAACCACUAAAUAUCUUGGAAGAAGCUUGACUAUUUUACUUAUAUGAUGGAACGUAUAUGGUGUUUAUAACGAACUAGCUUUUUAUAACCUUUAAUGAAAAUAUGAUUUCGUGAAAAAAAGAAAAGACAUAAUACAAUUUGUGUAAUAAGAUAUUUAAAUUCAUUGCAUUUGCGUCCAUAUAGCAGAAUUACUUGUGAUAACUCAACGAUACUAGUACAUGCUGGAGAGUGUUUUAGACGGACAAGACCUUCAUGAAUAAGGAUAAUUAACUCCAUUAUAACGUAAACAGCCUGUCUGACAUUUGCCUCCCUUGGUUAAAUUUUUGCUGAUAAUGCAUUUUUGUUUAAUAUUUAUUUGCUUUAAUUGAAAUAAAUAACAUUAAAUUCUAA
This is a long non-coding RNA of Ruditapes philippinarum (Manila clam), 1158 nucleotides long. RefSeq lists it as uncharacterized. The record is from RefSeq and is a predicted model, not a curated record. The transcript has 2 exons. Lineage: Eukaryota; Metazoa; Mollusca; Bivalvia; Venerida; Veneridae.